RNAcentral lists this long non-coding RNA (606 nucleotides) under Mus pahari (shrew mouse). RNAcentral describes it as "predicted gene 12702 (MGP_PahariEiJ_G0006204.1)". Lineage: Eukaryota; Metazoa; Chordata; Mammalia; Rodentia; Muridae. The record is from RNAcentral.
AGUCGAUUUAUUGACAAAGAACGAGCUAGCAAGGAAAGGCUGAGCUCCAGAGACCGGUUAGCUAAUGUCAGGCUCGAAGUCUUCCUUUGUGGAGAAAGAACUUAACAAAAUGACUCUUUUAAAAGGUGACAGAACUGACUGUGUUUAACCUCAUGUUUUUCCUUUCUACUGGUGGGACAGCAAAAAAAAUCUGAAACUCAUGUCAUCUGUGGAAACUGCACUCAAGUGCAGGUAAUCGCAAGUAUAGCUGAAGAGCUUUUAUUCAUUCCUUCGGCUCUGGAGAAACCAACUUCAGAGUGAGUGUUAUAGGAAAAUGGAUAGAACUGACGUGCAGAAGCUCUUAAGGGGACUCAGCUAAGGUCAACCUGCUACGCCUUACUCUGAGGUUGCCUUACAGAUGGGGUCCAUGUCACCAGAUGUUCCUCAACUUGUACACUGCUGUGCAGGCCAGCACAAGAUGUAGUUGUCUCACUCUGUGAACUAUUACCCAAGUCUGUAGGGUCACUGGGUCGCCUCUCCUGCAUGCCUCCUGGACAGAUGGGGAGUGUCCAAUCCCCGAGAAGCUGAGUUACACUCAAUGGCUGAUGGGUAAAUACCAUGACCAUU